This 350-nucleotide ribosomal RNA is filed under the name uncultured bacterium. Its description in RNAcentral is "bacterial SSU rRNA". It matches the Rfam family "Bacterial small subunit ribosomal RNA", at positions 28 to 408 of the family's 1533-position model. The record is from RNAcentral.
GAUGAACGCUGGCGGCGUGCUUAACACAUGCAAGUCGAACGAACCUUCGGGUUAGUGGCGGACGGGUGAGUAACGCGUGAGAAUCUGCCCUCAGGAGGGGGAUAACGGCUGGAAACGGCCGCUAAUACCCCAUAUGCCGCGAGGUGAAACGAGUUUUCGCCUGAGGAUGAGCUCGCGUCUGAUUAGCUAGUUGGUGGGGUAAAGGCCUACCAAGGCGACGAUCAGUAGCUGGUCUGAAAGGAUGAUCAGCCACACUGGGACUGAGACACGGCCCAGACUCCUACGGGAGGCAGCAGUGGGGAAUUUUCCGCAAUGGGCGAAAGCCUGACGGAGCACCGCCGCGUGAGGGA